AUUGCCCUCUUUCUUUAGGCCUAACACAUGCAAGUCGAACGGCAGCACAGUAAGAGCUUGCUCUUACGGGUGGCGAGUGGCGGACGGGUGAGGAAUACAUCGGAAUCUACUUUUUCGUGGGGGAUAACGUAGGGAAACUUACGCUAAUACCGCAUACGACCUACGGGUGAAAGCAGGGGAUCUUCGGACCUUGCGCGAUUGAAUGAGCCGAUGUCGGAUUAGCUAGUUGGCGGGGUAAAGGCCCACCAAGGCGACGAUCCGUAGCUGGUCUGAGAGGAUGAUCAGCCACACUGGAACUGGGACACGGUCCAGACUCCUACGGGAGGCAGCAGUGGGGAAUAUUGGACAAUGGGCGCAAGCCUGAUCCAGCCAUACCGCGUGGGUGAAGAAGGCCUUCGGGUUGUAAAGCCCUUUUGUUGGGAAAGAAAAGCAGCAGGUUAAUACCCCGCUGUUCUGACGGUACCCAAAGAAUAAGCACCGGCUAACUUCGUG
Molecule: ribosomal RNA, 492 nt
Filed under: uncultured bacterium
Lineage: Bacteria
Description: partial 16S ribosomal RNA
Rfam family: Bacterial small subunit ribosomal RNA
Source: RNAcentral